GACAGAGGGUGCAAACGUUGUUCGGAAUUACUGGGCGUAAAGCGUGUGUAGGCGGUCCACUAAGUCGGAUGUGAAAGCCCUGGGCUCAACCCAGGAAGUGCACUCGAAACUGGCGGGCUAGAGUAUCGGAGAGGUUGGUGGAAUUCUCGGUGUAGAGGUGAAAUUCGUAGAUAUCGAGAGGAACACCGGUGGCGAAGGCGGCCAACUGGACGAAUACUGACGCUGAGACACGAAAGCGUGGGGAGCAAACAGG
Molecule: ribosomal RNA, 253 nt
Filed under: uncultured bacterium
Lineage: Bacteria
Description: partial 16S ribosomal RNA
Rfam family: Bacterial small subunit ribosomal RNA
Source: RNAcentral